Molecule: ribosomal RNA, 406 nt
Filed under: uncultured bacterium
Lineage: Bacteria
Description: partial 16S ribosomal RNA
Rfam family: Bacterial small subunit ribosomal RNA
Source: RNAcentral
AUUGAACGCUGGCGGCAGGCCUAACACAUGCAAGUCGAGCGCGCCGCGGGGGGGAGAGUAAUGUCUGGGACACUGCGUGAUGGGGGGGGAAAACUACGGGAAAGGGUAGAUAAUACCGCAAACCAUCAGAUGUGCCCAGAGGGGAUUAGUUAGUAGGUGGGGUAACGGCUCACCAAGGCUACGAUCCAUAGUUGGUCUGAGAGGAUGACCAGCCACACGGGAACUGAGACACGGCCCAGACUCCGACGGGAGGCAGCAGUGGGGAAUAUUGCACAAUGGGCGCAAGCCUGAUGCAGCCAUGCCGCGUGUAUGAAGAAGGCCUUCGGGUCGUAAAGUACUUUCAGCGGGGAGGCGUUACCCGCAGAAGAAGCACCGGCUAACUCCGUGCCAGCAGCCGCGGUAAUAC